Molecule: long non-coding RNA, 370 nt
Organism: Sycon ciliatum
Lineage: Eukaryota; Metazoa; Porifera; Calcarea; Leucosolenida; Sycettidae
Exons: 3
Source: RefSeq, a predicted model, not a curated record
UGUAAGUCCAACAUUGCUGGUGCUAGAGUUGCCACUGCUUGCUUAUAAGGGAAUCAUGUGUGUUGCCUUUUUGCCUUUUCCUCCGUCCUCCUUCGACUGUACUCCCAGGACUGAACUUACGGGAAGGAGUGCUUCCAAGAUGGGAGACGAAGAAGAAGAAGCCGCUGAAUCCGGCGGCAAUGGCUGGGAUGCUGCGUUCUCGAGAAGAAGCGUUAUUUCUGCAUUCCAAGAAGGACGGCACAAUGUGUCGGACUGUCCGCGUCGCAUUGAUCUGGUCCGAUGAGGCUGCUAUUGCACACACAGUGAGGGAACUCCCAUACGGUAACUCGGAAGUACUGCUACAGUACAGGUAAGGUGGCCGUUGCUUAUG